Molecule: long non-coding RNA, 318 nt
Organism: Oncorhynchus tshawytscha (Chinook salmon)
Lineage: Eukaryota; Metazoa; Chordata; Actinopteri; Salmoniformes; Salmonidae
Source: Ensembl
CCUAUUCCCUAUACAGUGCACUACUAUAGACCCUCUUCCCUAUACAGUGCACUACUAUAGACCCUCUUCCCUAUACAGUGGUACUACUAUAGACCCUCUUCCCUAUAUAGUGGUACUACUAUAGACCCUCUUCCCUAUAUAGUGGUACUACUAUAGACCCUCUUCCCUAUACAUGGUACUACUAUAGACCCUCUUCCCUAUAUAGUGGUACUACUAUAGACCCUCUUCCCUAUACAGUGCACUACUAUAGACCCUCUUCCCUUUACAGUGCACUACUAUAGACCCUAUUCCCUAUAUAGUGGUACUACUAUAGACCCU